RNAcentral lists this ribosomal RNA (440 nucleotides) under uncultured bacterium. RNAcentral's name for it is "partial 16S ribosomal RNA". It matches the Rfam family "Bacterial small subunit ribosomal RNA", at positions 339 to 795 of the family's 1533-position model. The record is from RNAcentral.
CUACGGGGUGCUGCAGUGAGGAAUAUUGCACAAUGGGGGGAACCCUGAUGCAGCAACGCCGCGUGGAGGAUGACGCAUUUCGGUGUGUAAACUCCUUUUAUAUGUCAAGAAAAUGACGGUAGCAUAUGAAUAAGCACCGGCUAACUCCGUGCCAGCAGCCGCGGUAAUACGGAGGGUGCAAGCGGUUACUCGGAAUCACUGGGCGUAAAGGACGCGUAGGCGGGUUGGAAAGUCAGGUGUGAAAUCCAACAGCUUAACUGUAGAACUGCACUUGAAACUUCUAAUCUAGAGUAUGGGAGGGGGAGAUGGAAUUAGUGGUGGAGGGGUAAAAUCCGUAGAUAUCACUAGGAAUACCUAAAGCGAAGGCGAUCUCCUGGAACAUUACUGACGCUAAGGCGUGAAAGCGUGGGGAGCAAACAGGAUUAGAUACCCGCGUAGUC